This 468-nucleotide ribosomal RNA is filed under the name uncultured bacterium. Its description in RNAcentral is "partial 16S ribosomal RNA". It matches the Rfam family "Bacterial small subunit ribosomal RNA", at positions 28 to 507 of the family's 1533-position model. The record is from RNAcentral.
GACGAACGCUGGCGGCGUGCUUAACACAUGCAAGUCGAACGGAAAGGCCCUGCUUUUGUGGGGUGCUCGAGUGGCGAACGGGUGAGUAACACGUGAGUAACCUGCCCUUGACUUUGGGAUAACUUCAGGAAACUGGGGCUAAUACCGGAUAGGAGCUCCUGCUGCAUGGUGGGGGUUGGAAAGUUUCGGCGGAUGGGGAUGGACUCGCGGCUUAUCAGCUUGUUGGUGGGGUAGUGGCUUACCAAGGCUUUGACGGGUGGCCGGCCUGAGAGGGUGACCAGCCACAUUGGGACUGAGAUACCGCCCAGACUCCUACGGGAGGCAGCAGUGGGGAAUAUUGCACAAUGGGCGGAAGCCUGAUGCAGCAACGCCGCGUGCGGGAUGACGGCCUUCGGGUUGUAAACCGCUUUCGCCUGUGACGAAGCGUGAGUGACGGUAAUGGGUAAAGAAGCACCGGCUAACUACGUG